Long non-coding RNA from Brachypodium distachyon (stiff brome), 427 nucleotides. RefSeq lists it as uncharacterized. The record is from RefSeq and is a predicted model, not a curated record. The transcript is spliced from 2 exons. NCBI's taxonomy places the organism in Eukaryota, Viridiplantae, Streptophyta, Magnoliopsida, Poales, Poaceae.
UUCUUCAUGUGCCUGGGUAUCUGUUUUCCAUCUCCCUUGGGUCAUUAUGUCGUUGCCAAGUAGAUUAUGUACUGCUACACGGACGGAGCCUGGAGGCCUCAUGUGCCGCGACGAUAGCUGCGUCGUCUCCGGAUAUUCGGCGUUCCAUUCGAACGGAUUUGGGGGUUAAAACGCAAGAUGGAUGGGCUGGACCUUAAAGAGUUGCGUAUCGACCUAAAUCUGACGCUGGUAUUGAAUAAUAUGUAACAUCUUGGUCACCGUCGUACUGCACCCAGACAAUGCCAAGCAAAGAUGCACCACAAAAGAAGGGUGAUGUUGGUGAAUCCCAUAAUGUAUAUGUAGGGUGGAGCAACUAAUAAUGAACGGUUAUCCUAUGUGCCAACCAAAAUAAUAUACAGUACACUAAUUUGCCCCUUUGAGAUGUACA